RNAcentral lists this ribosomal RNA (479 nucleotides) under uncultured bacterium. RNAcentral describes it as "partial 16S ribosomal RNA". It matches the Rfam family "Bacterial small subunit ribosomal RNA", at positions 28 to 507 of the family's 1533-position model. The record is from RNAcentral.
GAUGAACGCUAGCGGGAGGCCUAACACAUGCAAGCCGAGCGGUAUUGUUUCUUCGGCAAUGAGAGAGCGGCGUACGGGUGCGUAACACGUGUGCAACCUGCCUUUAUCUGGGGGAUAGCCUUUCGAAAGGAAGAUUAAUACUCCAUAAUAUAUUGAACGGCAUCGUUUAAUAUUGAAAGCUCCGGCGGAUAGAGAUGGGCACGCGCAAGAUUAGCUAGUUGGUGAGGUAACGGCUCACCAAGGCGGUGAUCUUUAGGGGGCCUGAGAGGGUGAUCCCCCACACUGGUACUGAGACACGGACCAGACUCCUACGGGAGGCAGCAGUGAGGAAUAGUGGUCAAUGGGUGCAAGCCUGAACCAGCCAUCCCGCGUGAAGGACGACUGCCGUAUGGGUUGUAAACUUCUUUUGUAUAGGGAUAAACCUACCCUCGUGAGGGUAGCUGAAGGUACUAUACGAAUAAGCACCGGCUAACUCCGUG